UACGUAGGGGGCGAGCGUUUGUCCGGAAUUACUGGGCGUAAAGCGUGCGCAGGCGGUUCGUUAUGUCCGAUGUGAAAGCCCCGAGCUCAACUUGGGAAUGGCAUUGGAAACUGGCGGGCUGGAGUGUGGCAGAGGGGGGUGGAAUUCCACGUGUAGCAGUGAAAUGCGUAGAGAUGUGGAGGAACACUCAUGGCGAAGGCAGCCCCUGGGU
Molecule: ribosomal RNA, 211 nt
Filed under: uncultured bacterium
Lineage: Bacteria
Description: partial 16S ribosomal RNA
Rfam family: Bacterial small subunit ribosomal RNA
Source: RNAcentral